Molecule: non-coding RNA, 21 nt
Organism: Caenorhabditis elegans
Lineage: Eukaryota; Metazoa; Nematoda; Chromadorea; Rhabditida; Rhabditidae
Source: Ensembl
UGUUAAGGUGAUAAAACAUUG